Molecule: non-coding RNA, 145 nt
Organism: Gossypium hirsutum (cotton)
Lineage: Eukaryota; Viridiplantae; Streptophyta; Magnoliopsida; Malvales; Malvaceae
Source: Rfam
AAUUAAAAUUUUUAUCCAUUUCUAAUGUUAAAAACUAGGGUGACUAAUGAAAUAACCAGAAAGUUACACAUGUCAUGCUCUGUAUACCCCAUGUCGAUGUACAAUGACUAGUUAUUAAUAGUGAAAAUUGAUGAAAAUUUUCAUA